UUACAGGGAGACCGGAACCCAGACGAAACCGAAAGCAGUAAAAUAGGUUUCAACUGAGGUCAUCCCAGGUCGUGCGAGGUUGAAUUAUAAUCGGCUUUCAAACUAUUUCUGGGCGCGGUAAAACUCCAGAUUUAGACAUUCUAAUCAUCUGGUAAAUUCUAAAAAACUCCGCCAACAGGAUAAAAGAUAUCAGCAAACUUUAUUAAAAAAAUAAAGACUGCUGGAGGUCUAAUCCAGCCAGAACCUUGAAAACUGCAUAGCAAAAACUGCCAUAGAGAAAGGUAGGGAAGCGAGUAAAAUCGCAGAAGUAUCAGUCAAAAAGCAAAGACCAAAGAAAAGU
This 340-nucleotide unclassified non-coding RNA is filed under the name Ammassolinea attenuata UPOC 61/2013. RNAcentral describes it as "partial 16S-23S ribosomal RNA intergenic spacer". Lineage: Bacteria; Bacillati; Cyanobacteriota; Cyanophyceae; Oscillatoriales; Oscillatoriaceae. The record is from RNAcentral.